This 254-nucleotide ribosomal RNA is filed under the name uncultured bacterium. RNAcentral describes it as "partial 16S ribosomal RNA". It matches the Rfam family "Bacterial small subunit ribosomal RNA", at positions 524 to 776 of the family's 1533-position model. The record is from RNAcentral.
UACGUAGGGGGGCUAGCGUUGUCCGGAAUCAUUGGGCGUAAAGAGCGUGUAGGCGGCCCGGUAAGUCCGCUGUGAAAGUCGGGGGCUCAACCCUCGAAUGCCGGUGGAUACUGUCGGGCUAGAGUGCGGAAGAGGCGAGUGGAAUUCCUGGUGUAGCGGUGAAAUGCGCAGAUAUCAGGAGGAACACCAAUUGCGAAGGCAGCUCGCUGGGACGUAACUGACGCUGAGACGCGAAAGCGUGGGGAGCAAACAGG